This 97-nucleotide small nuclear RNA is filed under the name Mus spretus (western wild mouse). RNAcentral's name for it is "snRNA (ENSMSPG00010003897.1)". Lineage: Eukaryota; Metazoa; Chordata; Mammalia; Rodentia; Muridae. The record is from RNAcentral.
CUGCCUUUGUGGCAGGUGCAGGAAAAUUGGACUGACACAGAGGUUAGCAUGCCUUUGUACAGAGACAAUGUGAAAAUUUGUGGUUUUCCUUAUAUUU